RNAcentral lists this ribosomal RNA (516 nucleotides) under uncultured bacterium. RNAcentral describes it as "bacterial SSU rRNA". It matches the Rfam family "Bacterial small subunit ribosomal RNA", at positions 24 to 529 of the family's 1533-position model. The record is from RNAcentral.
UCAGAUUGAACGCUGGCGGCAGGCCUAACACAUGCAAGUCGAACGGUAACAGAAAGCAGCUUGCUGCUUUGCUGACGAGUGGCGGACGGGUGAGUAAUGUCUGGGAAACUGCCUGAUGGAGGGGGAUAACUACUGGAAACGGUAGCUAAUACCGCAUAACGUCGCAAGACCAAAGAGGGGGACCUUCGGGCCUCUUGCCAUCGGAUGUGCCCAGAUGGGAUUAGCUUGUUGGUGGGGUAACGGCUCACCAAGGCGACGAUCUCUAGCUGGUCUGAGAGGAUGACCAGCCACACUGGAACUGAGACACGGUCCAGACUCCUACGGGAGGCAGCAGUGGGGAAUAUUGCACAAUGGGCGCAAGCCUGAUGCAGCCAUGCCGCGUGUAUGAAGAAGGCCUUCGGGUUGUAAAGUACUUUCAGCGGGGAGGAAGGGAGUAAAGUUAAUACCUUUGCUCAUUGACGUUACCCGCAGAAGAAGUACCGGCUAACUCCGUGCCAGCAGCCGCGGUAAUACGGA